AGGGUUCGAUUCUGGCUCAGGAUGAACGCUAGCUACAGGCUUAACACAUGCAAGUCGAGGGGCAGCAUUGGAGUAGCAAUACUCAGAUGGCGACCGGCGCACGGGUGAGUAACACGUAUCCAACCUGCCGCUUACUCGGGGAUAGCCUUUCGAAAGAAAGAUUAAUACCCGAUGGUAUAAAGAGUUCGCAUGUUCUCUUUAUUAAAGAAUUUCGGUAAGCGAUGGGGAUGCGUUCCAUUAGAUUGUUGGCGGGGUAACGGCCCACCAAGUCUACGAUGGAUAGGGGUUCUGAGAGGAAGGUCCCCCACAUUGGAACUGAGACACGGUCCAAACUCCUACGGGAGGCAGCAGUGAGGAAUAUUGGUCAAUGGACGAGAGUCUGAACCAGCCAAAGUAGCGUGAAGGAUGACUGCCCUAUGGGUUGUAAACUUCUUUUAUAAGGGAAUAAAGUGAGGGACGUGUCCCUUUUUGUAUGUACCUUAUGAAUAAGGAUCGGCUAACUCCGUGCCAGCCGCGGC
This 518-nucleotide ribosomal RNA is filed under the name uncultured bacterium. RNAcentral's name for it is "bacterial SSU rRNA". It matches the Rfam family "Bacterial small subunit ribosomal RNA", at positions 8 to 518 of the family's 1533-position model. The record is from RNAcentral.